CCUACGGGUGGCAGCAGUGGGGAAUAUUGCACAAUGGGGGAAACCCUGAUGCAGCGACGCCGCGUGCGUGAAGAAGUAUUUCGGUAUGUAAAGCUCUGUUAGCAGGGAAGAAAAUGACGGUACCUGACCAAGAAGCACCGGCUAACUACGUGCCAGCAGCCGCGGUAAUACGCAGGGGGCAAGCGUUAUCCGGAUUUACUGGGUGUAAAGGGGGCGUAGACGGCAGGGCAAGUCUGGAGUGAAAGGCGGAGGCUCAACCCCCGGACUGCUCUGGAAACUGCCAGGCUGGAGAGCAGGAGAGGUAGGUGGAAUGCCUAGUGUAGCGGUGAAAUGCGUAGAGAUUAGGAAGAACACCAGUGGCGAAGGCGGCUUACUGGGCUAUAACUGACGUUGAGGCUCGAAAGCGUGGGGAGCAAACAGGAUUAGAUACCCCAGUAGUC
RNAcentral lists this ribosomal RNA (440 nucleotides) under uncultured bacterium. RNAcentral describes it as "partial 16S ribosomal RNA". It matches the Rfam family "Bacterial small subunit ribosomal RNA", at positions 338 to 795 of the family's 1533-position model. The record is from RNAcentral.